UGCAAGGUGGAAAAAUUAAGUGUAAAGAAAAAGAACUAAUAUAAAAAUAAAGUAAAAAGAAAUCAAUAUAGGGUAGGGGUAGAAUAGGAAAAAGAAAGAAAAAAAUUGAUUAAAAAGUAUUAAAAAGCAAAAGAGAGUGUAAGUGGAGAAAAAAAGAGUGGGGAAAUCACAUCCCUAUAAUAUAAAUAGAUUAAUAAAAUCACGUUGGAAGAAGAGCAUGAGCAAACUAACUCUAUAUCAUAAAGGAAGUUGAGGACCUUGCCUCGCUGGAGCCAGCCCAAAAACCCGACACAAGAAAAUCGGCCUCAACCUUGGCGCUCAAACCUUGAGAUACCGUAACUAAACACAAAGUAGCAAUGUUUUAUCCAAUUUUAAUGCAAUCUAAUAUAAUCUUUUAUAUUAAGAACAACCCAA
RNAcentral lists this long non-coding RNA (414 nucleotides) under Prunus persica (peach). Its description in RNAcentral is "long non-coding RNA (PPER_LNC003132)". The record is from RNAcentral. Lineage: Eukaryota; Viridiplantae; Streptophyta; Magnoliopsida; Rosales; Rosaceae.